Molecule: long non-coding RNA, 2877 nt
Organism: Corythoichthys intestinalis (scribbled pipefish)
Lineage: Eukaryota; Metazoa; Chordata; Actinopteri; Syngnathiformes; Syngnathidae
Exons: 3
Source: RefSeq, a predicted model, not a curated record
GCCAUUAACCCUUGAGAGUCGAAGGACGCGCCGGCGCGUCCUCAGCGCACGUCGUCUUUGAAGCACCCUCGCGUUUUAAUUACGUCACCCACAUGCCGUUGGUUGGUCUCGUUUUAAAGUGCGGAAGUUGCGGUUUACUCUCGUUGUUAUUUGAAGUCAAUCGACCAACUAAAACGUGAGAUAUUGUCAUUUAAGUUUUAUAGUUUUAUUGUCCUCUCAAAAAAACAUUAAAACGCUGCAUGGAUCAUUUGUUUAUGUCUAUAUUUCCAUCAUUUCUUGUCCUUUUUCAAAACGGAAGCUCCAUGAAAAAAACACAAAUCAAACGAACCCUUUCGAAGUCACAGUGGAAGCACAAAAUGCGUUUUUUUUUUUUUUAUAAAUAUAACUGCCGUGCGAGGUUCCACCGAACGAGAGGCAGGAGUGUUCUGACGCAGCGAGGGGGCGAGCGACGGCCGUUUGAAUCAAGCAAGCGGGCGAGCGACUUUGUGUGACUUUGAGGAUGAACGGAAAACUAAAUUUAGCGCAAGCAAUUGUGCUUUUUGAUCAACUUGAGGAAGAGGGUGGUCCAAAUUCGUCAUCAUCGUCUUCUUCGGAAGAGUCCUCGAGUGAAGAUAGUGACGGAUUUGAACACGUGGGUGACGCCAUCGACGAGCAGAGUGACAAUGAAAGUAAAGUGAAAUGAAAAUGGAAGGGUGGAAAGAGGACCGACACCCCAUGGAAGUGUGGGCUGUGAUGUAGCCCUGUGUCUAAUUCCAGGACGAAACUGCUUUUCGGAGUGGCAUGCCUGAAAAAAAUUUAACUUGUUUAUUGUAAAUAUUUUUGAAAAUACUUUUUUCCCCAAUGUUAUAUAUAUAUUUUUUUUCCCACAAUCAGUCUUCUCAAUUUGUGUAUAUAAAUGUGUGUUCAAGAAGCUUGAUUGUGUGUACAUAGUUUUCAUCAGGUGAUGGGCCGCAAUACCUAAACUCAUAAAGAGAUGGCCUCUAAACACUUUUUGUGUUAGAUGGUAUAUUUUUUCACUGUUCUUCACUGUUUGGUCUGCUGUAUAUAACCUGUUUUGACUAGAGCAUGUAUAAAUGCAAAAAACGCCUAUGGCUAUACCUGUUGUUUAUGUUGAAUUGUCAAAUAAAAGACUAUUUAUUCUAAUUUUUUUUGGUUGAAUGUUCAUCCUAACAUGUUGAAUAAAUAUUACAAAGUUUCAAAACGGUUCGUUACGCAUGUUUGGUUGUCAAUUGGACAUCAAUAUUAAAAAUUUUGACAAAACGAUUUUGGAAUUUUUGGUCUUUUUGGGCCCAAAAUUAUGAUUUAUAAUUGGUCAGUGAAGGAAACAACAGUUUGGACAUGAAGUUCAAGGUGUCACAAAAAAAGGGACCAAACCAGGCCAUCGUAAACAAUUCUGUCUUUGAAAUAUAAAGGCAACUUCAAAGGCAUGCAAAAUCAGACAAAAUAGGCCCAGACCUUAAAGGGUUAAUGUUCUACUUACGUCUUUGUAAAACCAAGGUUGCAUUGUUGUAGGUUUUCAAAGCUGUCGUGGCUGAAAUGAUGAAAACAAUGAGCCGAUUGGGGACCUGUAUGCAUGCUAACAAAAACAGUCCAAACCUUUGCAGGAGAAGUUUUUUUGGACCACUCCUAGAGUCUCGAGUCUUCCUGUAAACCUGCUGACAACACAUCCCGAUUGGUCACCAUCUCUCUUCUUGGAUCAUUUGACAAAGAAAAUUUGUUCAAUGGAGUGGUUCCAUUUGUCCUGUGUCGGACUCAAACAAGCCCCUGCAGCAGACGCCAUCUGGGUCUGCCCUUCUCGUCGAUGAACUGCGGGCUUUUAACUUGUGAAAAUGCAAGAACUUUAAUGCACAUAUUUAUUCUGCAUGGCUAUUUAACUAUGGCCAGUGACGUUUUUUUUUUUUUUUUUUUUUUAAACCACUUUGACAAAGACACGUUUCAUUGUAAUGUUGAAUUUAUAUAUUCUAUUAUUAUUUUUAAAUUAUAAUAUUCUUAUUUGCACUUAUGUAGACUUUAGACUGUCAAUUCAAAUAGUGUUGGAAAAGUUGCAAUACCUAAAAUAGAAAUGCAAGAACUGUAAAGUACAUAUUUAUACACCUUUAUUUACCUAAGGCCACUGGAUGUUUUUUAACUGCUUUGAAAAAUACAGGUUUUGUUGUGAUCUUGUAUUUAUAUAGUAUAUAGCUUUUUAUAAUGUAUUAUGUAUUAUAAUAUUUGCUGCCCCCUGCCAGAGUGUGGGCCAUUUUGUACUAAAAGGAUUUUAAACUGUCAGUUCAAAUACUGUGUUGGAGACUAGUACUUGCAAUACUUAAAAUGGAAAUGCAAGAACUUUAAAGCACAUAUUUAUCCUGUCUGGCAAUUUACCCAAGGCCAGUAAAUAGUGUUUUAAACUGCUUUGACAAAGACACGUUUAUUGUGAUCUUGUAUUUGUGUAUUACUUAUAAUUAUAUAACAUUUGCUGCCACCGUCAGAGGGUGGGCCUUGUUUGCACUAAUUUAAAGAUUUUAAACUGUCAAUUCAAAUAUCGUAUUGGAGAAAUUGCAUUACUUGAAAUAAAUCUAUUGCAACUUAUCAGUCCCAGUUCUUGUCUACAACACUGUCCAAAAAUUGUCAAUGCAUAUUCCAAAUAGAAUAACAAAAUUGAGUCACCUGACUUUGUAAUUAUUACACCUGUUUAUUAUGAAGACCUGAAGUAAACAACAAGCAGUUAUAGUUUGUCAAGAAGUUGUUCAAGUCAUGUUUUGGUAUUCAUAUUUUAUUGACUUUUCACAACAACACUUGGGAUCGUGUUUGUAAGAGCAGAGCAAACUGAAGUUUCAGCGUGCACUCUUCGCCUUUCCAACCUCUCAUAACGCUCCGAUGUGGUGCGCUUGACCUCAG